Bos taurus (domestic cattle) is the source of this 2327-nucleotide long non-coding RNA. The record is from Ensembl. Lineage: Eukaryota; Metazoa; Chordata; Mammalia; Artiodactyla; Bovidae.
AUGCUGACAGGCCGAGCAGCAGCAGGACAGGCUUGUCUACAGAGAUAAACAACUGGUUGGCUGAGCGGGGCCUCUACUUGUGCCCCGCCUCUGCGUCUUGCUGUGAGGAAUGUAAUCUGUCCUUUCCUAGGACAUAAGUUCUUCCAGAGUCACUGCUUCACUAUAGUUACAUUUGAAAGACAGUCAAACCCUUGCUGAUAUGAAGAUUUUUCUAAGACUUAGCUCUUCUCUUCUGAAGAAUUAAUAGAAAGCUGAGUGCUGAAGAAUUGAUGCUUUGGAACUGUGGUGUUGGAGAAGAUUCUUGAGAGUCCGUUGGACUGCAAGGAGAUCCAACCAGUCCAUCUGAAAGGAGAUCAGUCCUGAAUGUUCAUUGGAAGGACUGAUGUUGAAGCUGAAACUCCAGUACUUUGGCCACCUGAUGUGAAGAGCUGACUCAUUUGAAAAGACCCUGAUGCUGGGAAAGAUUGAAGGCAGGAGGAGAAGGGGAUGACAGAUGAUGAGAUGGUCGGAUGGCAUCACCAAUGUGAGUUUGAGUAAACUCCUGGAAUUGGUGAUGGCUAGGGAGGCCUGACGUGCUGCAGUCCAUGGGGUCACAAAGAAUUGGACAUGACUGAGCAACUGAACUGAACUGAACUGAAUGCUAUGCUCAGAAACUUCCUGGGCAAUCAUUCUUUAGUUUCUACUUUCAGAUUCUUUUGGAGAAGCAAAUGGCAACCCACUCCAGUACUCUUGCCUGGGAAAGUCCAUGGACAGAGGAGCCUGGCGGACUACAGUCCUUGGGGAUCACAAAGAGUCGGACAUGACUGAGCAGCUGAACGACAACAGUGCUGCCGAGGCUUUUCAGGGAAGCUCUGGAGCCCAUUAGUCCUUUACUGCCAUAGGUCUAGAGACUUGCCUAACCUCUCUGAGCCUUGUUUUCUCAUCUGUGAAAUGGGAAUAGCAGCCUCGACCUCACAGCCUUGCUGGGAGUAUUAGGAUGUGGAGACCAGGGCUCAGCAGUGUUACUGACCCUUACACACUGAAGUGAACAUUCAGGAACAGCAGAAUGAAUGGACUGAUCAGAGUUUGGAAAUGUCUUUUCCACUGGCUUUUCCCGAGCUUUCCAAAGCUGGAGCUGUUUUUCCCUUCUCACCACUUCUCCUGGCUCCUCAUUCACCCUCCUCUCUAGCUCCACUGGGAUGCUCUGCCUUCCACGUCCUUCCCACCCCUCAAGUCUCAGCUCUCUCAUUUUGUAACCCCUCAGUCACUUCCUUCCAUGCUUCCAAUCCCCGGAGAGGGCCCCUCCAACCCACAGUUCACAGCAGACUUGCUGUCUGAACCACAUCCUCUUUAAACCAUUAUGGAAUCUUAUUCCUCCACCACUGGAGUGUAAACGUCCAAAGGCCUGGGGUCCUAUCCCUCUUCCAGAAACCAGACACAGACUAGGAAACAUGCCACCAGCUCAUCGAUUCUUGUUCAGUGAAUGAAUUCAUCAUCUUCACAAAUUCUUACAGAAUGAGUCAAAUAAAAAAUAUAAGUGCUUGCUAAGUCCUGCCCCGUAGCUUAGCAUCCAAGCCUGUUAUACUCUGUAUCCAGACUCCCUGUUCCGCCCUCAGUUUCAGCCAAGUGCCCUCAUGCUGUGCCUCUCACUGAUUUCUGCCUUUGGACCUUUGUUUUCUCUGUUCUUUGUCUCUUGAAUGACCCCUGUACUCGACCAAGGUCCCACUUAUCCAUCUAGGUUCAAGUUCAGUGCCAGCUUACCUACAGAGUCAGCUUCCCCACAGAGUCAGCUUCCCCUUCAAACAGAAUCCCUCUUUCCUUUCCUUAUUCUCACUGAUUUUAGACACACUUUAAAAAUGUCUGUCCAUUUUUUUUUUGCCUGUAUAUGCUUAUUUAGGUAUGUCCCCCAACUCCAUUUAAACUUCUUGAGAACAGAGACCAUAUUUUGCCCUCACAAGGUUAUUAUGAGGGUUAAUGAGAUAGCAUAGGUUAGAAAAGCACAGAGUUACUUGUGUUACAUUUGUGGCAUCUUAGGACUUCCCUGGUGGUCCAGUGGCUAAGACUCUAUGCUCCCAAUGCAGGGGGCCCAGGUUCGAUCCCUAGUCAGAGAACUAAAAGAUCCUGCAUGCCACAGCUAAGACCUGGUGGGGACAAAUAAAUAAAAUAUACUUUUAAAAAUUGUGGUAUCUUGGUCACCCUCCACCCAUUUGUUGCUCCAAGACCUAGUUCUCAGCUUGGUAAACAUAUGCUUGAUAAUCUGUACUGCAUAAAUGAUUAAAAAAAAAAUAAAAGGAGCCCUCUUGGAGGUCUGUGCUUGAAAGUAGGAUAGGAGGAUCAUUGAAUGUAUU